Molecule: ribosomal RNA, 428 nt
Filed under: Grotea sp. BIOUG29812-D10
Lineage: Eukaryota; Metazoa; Arthropoda; Insecta; Hymenoptera; Ichneumonidae
Description: partial 16S ribosomal RNA
Source: RNAcentral
GUCUUUUAGAUUAUAAUUGAAGGUUUAAUCUGCUCAAUGAGAAUUAAAUAGCUGCAGUAAUUUGACUGUACUAAGGUAGCAUAAUAAAUAGUUUUUUAAUUGAAAGCUGGAAUGAAUGAUUGGAUAAGAUAUAAACUGUCUAAAUUUUAAGAAUAGAAUUUAAUUUGUGAGUUAAAAAUCUUACAUUUUGUAAUAAGACGAGAAGACCCUAUAGAUUUUUAUAUUUUUAAGUAAAAGUAUAGUUAAGUUAAUAAGUAAUUUUUAUUUAAAAUUAUUAAAUUGGGGUGAUUAUUAAAUUUAUUAAACUUUAAUAUUAUUAUACAGUAAUUAUUGAAUUAUUGAUCUUAAAUUUUAAAUUAAUAGAAUAAAAUACCUUAGGGAUAACAGCGUAAUUUUUUUGGAGAGAUCAUAUUGAUAAAAAAGAUUGC